Molecule: ribosomal RNA, 254 nt
Filed under: uncultured bacterium
Lineage: Bacteria
Description: partial 16S ribosomal RNA
Rfam family: Bacterial small subunit ribosomal RNA
Source: RNAcentral
UACGUAGGGGCCUAGCGUUGUCCGGAUUUAUUGGGCGUAAAGAGCUCGUAGGCGGUUCGGUAAGUCAGGUGUGAAAUCUCCACGCUCAACGUGGAGGCGCCACCUGAAACUGCCGUGACUCGAGUCCGGUAGGGGAGUGUGGAAUUCCUGGUGUAGCGGUGAAAUGCGCAGAUAUCGGGAGGAACACCUGUGGCGAAGGCGGCCGGCUGGGCCUUGACUGACGCUGAGGCGCGAAAGCGUGGGGAGCAAACGGG